RNAcentral lists this long non-coding RNA (3163 nucleotides) under Equus asinus (donkey). RNAcentral's name for it is "lncRNA (ENSEASG00005030141.1)". The record is from RNAcentral. Lineage: Eukaryota; Metazoa; Chordata; Mammalia; Perissodactyla; Equidae.
CAGGACCAUGUCCCUGGUGCUUCCCUCCAUGCUCUGUCUUGGAGAGUCUGAGAGAGAAGGGCCCAGCUACAAAUACAGGCUCCAGGUGGCAGGUCCAUCGGUUCUAGGAGGCUGGGGUGUCUCACCCACUGUUUCCUUCCAGGGAUGUGUCUAGGCCAGAGCACUCAGGCGCAGAAGGGAAAUCUCCCACGACCUCUUCUCAUGGCUCUACCAGGAUCUACGGUUCCACCUGGGAAUCCAGUGAUGAUCCUGUGCAGAGGGCCUCAGAAGCUGAAGCAUAUGCGCUAUCUAGAGUGAGAAGCCCUGAGCCCUCAGAUAGAGAGAAGCAACUGCUGUCUAAGACGUCCAACACUUAGAGUAUCUCAGAGAUGACGCCAUACUGGGCAGGGUUGUACCACUGUUCCUAUCAAAGUGUAGGCAGCUGGUCCCAGUUCAGUGACCCCCUGCAACCAGUGAUGACUAGUGAGUAGGACACAAGGGCAGCACAACCAGGACUGACCUCUUUGCAGAGGGAAGAACCAGACGUUGCAGAUAUGAAGCACAGAGGACCAAAACCUCUAUCCUUAGAAAGGGUUAGGGAUGAUGCAGACACAGAUUCCUCACAGCAGGACAAGGAGGGGAUAGAAACCAGAGCCAUGUCUACUCUGGGGGAACAAAAAGGGACAAUGCAUACAUGUGGCCCAGCCCUUUAUCUACAAGCUUCCUUCUUUCUCAGGAGCUUAUGAGAAACCCUUCCUCUCAAGCAUGACUGGUAUCAUGGUGCCUUCAGGGAAGAAUGAGAAGUUGCGGUGUUUCUCAACACUCAAGUUUGAUGCAUCUAUUCUUAUGAAGAAAGAUGGAGUUCACACCAUCCAGAACCAAAUCUCCACCUCUGAGGGUGGUGGACACCAGGCUGUGUUCCUCUUGAAUCAUGUCUCCUCCACACAAACUGGGACCUACAGAUGCUAUGGUGUCUUCGGUCAUUACCCUUAUGUGUGGUCUCACCCCAGUGACCGAUUGCAGCUUUGGGUCACAGCCCCAUAUGCAGAAGCUUCUGACCAUCCUGUUCCCACAAGCCCCAGACCUUCACCUGGUGAGUAACUGAUGAUCUUUGUAGAAGGAGCAGGGCAGGUAGAGGGAACAGCAGAUGCAAAAAUCAUGAGGUGGAGAGAAGCUUCACAUGCCCAAAGAGUGUCAAGGGGCACAGUCCCUGUUUGCUGAGUCCAUGGCUUAUCACAGGGAAAUAGCAAGGAAAGAGCAGGCAGGGCUCCAAUGGGGCAACUGGAGGCACCCUGUUCCCCACUGCUGUCUUUCUUGACCCCAGAUUCCCUGAUGGGAUCACCACUGUGGCCACAAUCAAAGGAGGAAUGAAAGGUAAGUAAGUGCUUGUCCAGUUCGGGGUUUGCUGGGCAGGCUACAUGCCAAGCCAGUAGACUGGAGAAAUGGGCUCGGGUUUGGGGGUAUGUUAGCAGAAUGGGCCUUGGUGCCUCUUCUGUAACCUUCUCUCCUUUUUCUCGCAGAACCUGCUGCCUGGCAUCUUUCUGCAGAGAAUCAAGUCCGGCUGAGCAUGGCUGGCCUGAUUCUCUUGGUCCUGGGGGUGCUCUUGGCUGAGGCCUGGUACAGCCGGAAGAUGCCCUUAAAUGGACACAGACAAGCCCCCACCUGAGUGUAAUGACAGCACCGAUGUCCUUCUAUUGGCAUCUAAUGACUGUGUGGACCCUGGGGGAGCAGCCAGAGGAGAUAGUGCCCUGGCCAUGUCACCUACUGAGAUAUCGGAGAAGACUUGUUUCUUGUUGAAUCUGUAACAACCUACCCCAGACACUUCGGUUUAAAGCAACACCAAUUCAUUCUCUUUUCAUUCUAGGGAGCAGGAGUCUAAAAAGUGUCUGCAGGCCUGCAUUCCUCUUUUAGCGUCUGGUCUGUGUUCCUGCCUUUUCUGUUUCUGGGCUCCGCCUGCAUUCCUUGCCUUCUGGAUCCCUCCUCCAUCUCCAAACCCACCAGUGUAGCAUCUUCUCUCCUCUCUGACCUCUGCUUCCUUCCCGCCUUCUUCUCUCUCUUGCUCCCACCCUCCUGCUUCCCUCUUAUAAGGACCCUUGUGGUGACAUUGGGCCUAAGAAGAUAAUCCAGGAUAAUCUCUCAGUUUCCAGAGUCUCGUCUUCCUCACAUCACAAUGUCCCUUAGCCGUGUCAGGUCCCACUCACAGUUCUGGGAAUUAGACGAGCACAACUUGAGGGGGACCAUUCAGCCGACCUCCAGUAGCUCAGUACAUCUGACCAUAGCGCAGGGCUGUGCUUGCACUUGUGCACUAACUCCUGGGGGAGACGUGGGGAUUGAAUAUUUAAUACUCUUUAGAAUUUAAAACAGGACAUGAUCUAAAUAGAGAGGGAGAGAUGCUUAACGAAUCCUGCUUCUGUAUGUCACAAUGUGUAAGUUCCUGACUUAUUGUACUUGAGGGGAGAAAACUUGGUCUAGGAAUAGAAAUGCUGAUUUUUUCAAUAGCGUCCUUUACUUUUACUUUAAAGGAUAUACAAAGCAAAUGUAAAAGUAUGAACGUUUAUGUUGGUGUGUUUGUUUCACGAUUUAAGUAACACCGAUGUUUGUGAUGUUAGCCAUUGUUCCAGUUUGGGGUUUAUUUUUGUUUUUUCUGAAAAGGAACAUCUUUUUUUUUUCUGUUUUUUUGAGGAAGAUUAGCCCUGAGCUAACUACUGCCAGUCCUCCUCUUUUUGCUGAGGAAGCCUUGCCCUGAGCUAACAUCCGUGCCCAUCUUCCUCUACUUUAUAUGUGGGAAGCCUGCCACAGCAUGGCGUGCCAAGCUGUGCCAUGUCCGCACCCUGGAUCCAAACCAGCGAACUCUGGGCCGCCGAGAAGAGGAACGUGCGUACUUAACCACUGCACCACCGGGCCAGCCCCUGAAAAGGAACGUCCUUAAAAGCAUGACACUAAAACAACAGACUCAACAGAAUGGUUAAAUCUGACUCCUGUUAUAGUUGAGUGGAUGAAAUCAUUCUGGAACUUCUUAGCUCCAAUCUACUGAAGUAAAGAAUAAAUAUCCUCACACUUAAACCAGGUGGACACUGUGCUCUGUAGAGACAUGGAGAUACUAAGUUCCAUCACUUGCCCUUUGGUCUCAUCUCUGCCCUGUGAUUAGAUUCUCGAAGAGCUCUCUGCUACCGGCUGCUGUUCC